Molecule: ribosomal RNA, 732 nt
Filed under: uncultured Staphylococcus sp.
Lineage: Bacteria; Bacillati; Bacillota; Bacilli; Caryophanales; Staphylococcaceae
Description: bacterial SSU rRNA
Rfam family: Bacterial small subunit ribosomal RNA
Source: RNAcentral
AGCGAACGGACGAGAAGCUUGCUUCUCUGAUGUUAGCGGCGGACGGGUGAGUAACACGUGGAUAACCUACCUAUAAGACUGGGAUAACUUCGGGAAACCGGAGCUAAUACCGGAUAAUAUUUUGAACCGCAUGGUUCAAAAGUGAAAGACGGUCUUGCUGUCACUUAUAGAUGGAUCCGCGCUGCAUUAGCUAGUUGGUAAGGUAACGGCUUACCAAGGCAACGAUGCAUAGCCGACCUGAGAGGGUGAUCGGCCACACUGGAACUGAGACACGGUCCAGACUCCUACGGGAGGCAGCAGUAGGGAAUCUUCCGCAAUGGGCGAAAGCCUGACGGAGCAACGCCGCGUGAGUGAUGAAGGUCUUCGGAUCGUAAAACUCUGUUAUUAGGGAAGAACAUAUGUGUAAGUAACUGUGCACAUCUUGACGGUACCUAAUCAGAAAGCCACGGCUAACUACGUGCCAGCAGCCGCGGUAAUACGUAGGUGGCAAGCGUUAUCCGGAAUUAUUGGGCGUAAAGCGCGCGUAGGCGGUUUUUUAAGUCUGAUGUGAAAGCCCACGGCUCAACCGUGGAGGGUCAUUGGAAACUGGAAAACUUGAGUGCAGAAGAGGAAAGUGGAAUUCCAUGUGUAGCGGUGAAAUGCGCAGAGAUAUGGAGGAACACCAGUGGCGAAGGCGACUUUCUGGUCUGUAACUGACGCUGAUGUGCGAAAGCGUGGGGAUCAAACAGGAUU